RNAcentral lists this ribosomal RNA (488 nucleotides) under uncultured bacterium. Its description in RNAcentral is "bacterial SSU rRNA". It matches the Rfam family "Bacterial small subunit ribosomal RNA", at positions 33 to 507 of the family's 1533-position model. The record is from RNAcentral.
CAGACGACGCUGGCGGCGUGCUUAAUACAUGCAAGUCGAGCGAGGCCUUGGAAUUGGAGUCCUUCGGGAUGAAGAGUCCUUGGCCUAGCGGCGGACGGGUGAGUAACGCGUGGGCAACCUACCCCAAAGUCCGGGAUAACAGUGGGAAACCGCUGCUAAUACCGGAUGACUUUACCUGAGGGCAUCCUCGGGUAAAGAAAGGUUACGCUUUUGGGAUGGGCCCGCGUCCCAUUAGCUAGUUGGUGAGGUAACGGCUCACCAAGGCGACGAUGGGUAGCCGGCCUGAGAGGGUGAACGGCCACACUGGGACUGAGACACGGCCCAGACUCCUACGGGAGGCAGCAGUAGGGAAUAUUGCGCAAUGGGCGGAAGCCUGACGCAGCGACGCCGCGUGAGCGAAGAAGGCCUUCGGGUCGUAAAGCUCUGUCCUUGGGGAAGAAGGCGAAAGCUUGACGGUACCCAAGAAGAAAGCCCCGGCUAACUACGUG